GACGUAGGGCGCGAGCGUUGUCCGGAUUUAUUGGGCGUAAAGGGCUCGUAGGCGGCUUGUCGCGUCGGGAGUGAAAAUCCAGGGCUUAACUCUGGACUGGCUUUCGAUACGGGCAGACUAGAGGUAUGCAGGGGAGAACGGAAUUCCUGGUGUAGCGGUGAAAUGCGCAGAUAUCAGGAGGAACACCGGUGGCGAAGGCGGUUCUCUGGGCAUUACCUGACGCUGAGGAGCGAAAGUGUGGGGAGCGAACAGG
Molecule: ribosomal RNA, 253 nt
Filed under: uncultured bacterium
Lineage: Bacteria
Description: partial 16S ribosomal RNA
Rfam family: Bacterial small subunit ribosomal RNA
Source: RNAcentral